CCUACGGUGGGCAGCAGUGGGGGAUAUUGGACAAUGGGGGGAACCCUGAUCCAGCGACGCCGCGUGAGUGCAGAAGUAUUUCGGUAUGUAAAGCUCUUUCAGCAGGGAAGAAAGAAAUGACGUUACCUGAUUAAGAAGCCCCGGCUAACUACGUGCCAGCAGCCGCGGUAAUACGUAGGGGGCAAGCGUUAUCCGGAUUUACUGGGUGUAAAGGGAGCGUAGACGGUGAUGCAAGUCAGAAGUGAAAGCCCGGGGCUCAACUCCGGGACUGCUUUUGAUACUGUGUAACUGGAGUGCAGGAGAGGUAAGCGGAAUUCUUGGUGUAGCGGUGAAAUGCGUAGAUAUCAGGAGGAACACCAGUGGCGAAGGCGGCCUACUGGACUGUAACUGACGUUGAGGCUCGAAAGCGUGGGGAGCAAACAGGAUUAGAUACCCGAGUAGUC
This 443-nucleotide ribosomal RNA is filed under the name uncultured bacterium. RNAcentral's name for it is "partial 16S ribosomal RNA". It matches the Rfam family "Bacterial small subunit ribosomal RNA", at positions 338 to 795 of the family's 1533-position model. The record is from RNAcentral.